GCCGGAGUGGCGGAAUGGCAGACGCGCUAGACUCAAAAUCUGGUGCUCGUAAGAGCGUGCGGGUUCAAGUCCCGCCUCCGGUACCA
This 86-nucleotide transfer RNA is filed under the name Lentisphaerota bacterium. RNAcentral's name for it is "Lentisphaerae bacterium (anaerobic digester metagenome) tRNA-Leu". It matches the Rfam family "tRNA". From Rfam's summary of the family: Transfer RNA (tRNA) molecules are approximately 80 nucleotides in length. The record is from RNAcentral. RNAcentral also lists the same sequence under 1 other name. Lineage: Bacteria; Pseudomonadati; Lentisphaerota.